This 495-nucleotide ribosomal RNA is filed under the name uncultured bacterium. Its description in RNAcentral is "partial 16S ribosomal RNA". It matches the Rfam family "Bacterial small subunit ribosomal RNA", at positions 28 to 523 of the family's 1533-position model. The record is from RNAcentral.
GAUGAACGCUGGCGGCGUGCUUAACACAUGCAAGUCGAGCGAAGCGAUUUUAAGGAAGUUUUCGGAUGGAAUUAAAAUUGACUUAGCGGCGGACGGGUGAGUAACGCGUGGGUAACCUGCCUCAUACAGGGGGAUAACAGUUAGAAAUGACUGCUAAUACCGCAUAAGCGCACAGUGCUGCAUAGCACAGUGUGAAAAACUCCGGUGGUAUGAGAUGGACCCGCGUCUGAUUAGGUAGUUGGUGAGGUAAUGGCUCACCAAGCCGACGAUCAGUAGCCGACCUGAGAGGGUGACCGGCCACAUUGGGACUGAGACACGGCCCAAACUCCUACGGGAGGCAGCAGUGGGGAAUAUUGGACAAUGGGGGAAACCCUGAUCCAGCGACGCCGCGUGAGUGAAGAAGUGUUUCGGCAUGUAAAGCUCUAUCAGCAGGGAAGAAAAUGACGGUACCUGACUAAGAAGCCCCGGCUAACUACGUGCCAGCCGCCGCCGUAA